This 253-nucleotide ribosomal RNA is filed under the name uncultured bacterium. Its description in RNAcentral is "partial 16S ribosomal RNA". It matches the Rfam family "Bacterial small subunit ribosomal RNA", at positions 524 to 776 of the family's 1533-position model. The record is from RNAcentral.
UACGUAGGGGGCAAGCGUUGUUCGGAAUUACUGGGCGUAAAGGGCGCGUAGGCGGCACGACAAGUCGGGAGUGAAAGCCCGGGGCUCAACCCCGGAAUGUCUCUCGAAACUGUCGAGCUAGAGUGCAGCAGAGGCAACUGGAAUUCCCAGUGUAGCGGUGAAAUGCGUAGAUAUUGGGAAGAACACCUGAGGCGAAGGCGGGUUGCUGGGCUGACACUGACGCUGAGGCGCGAAAGCCAGGGGAGCGAACGGG